Long non-coding RNA from Gadus morhua (Atlantic cod), 627 nucleotides. RefSeq lists it as uncharacterized. Lineage: Eukaryota; Metazoa; Chordata; Actinopteri; Gadiformes; Gadidae. The transcript has 2 exons. The record is from RefSeq and is a predicted model, not a curated record.
UUUACCACUCACCGGUACAAUGGCAUAGAGGGCAAAGAAAAGAAACUUCCAACACAGAAAUAACCCUUGUAAAUCAAAAAAUACUCUUUAGCUCACUUAGUGCACGAGGCAUAACGAACAAAAGAAAGAUUGCCGCAUGGGAAAAUGUGACUGAUGCAGUUCAUUCAGUUGGGUCAGAAGUGAGAACACUAUCUGAAGUAAAGAAAAUGGUUCGACGUUAAACUUGAUGCCAAAAAAAGUGUCACAGCCCACAGACGUGAGACAUCAGCAACUGGAGGAGGACAGACCACCACGGAACUUUCCCCUUUGGACAACAGAAUUGCCAGAAUCAUCGGCGACACAGCUCUGCCCGGCAUAGGACGGUGACACCGACGCUCAAGCCGGGCCGUCUAAUUGAAGCGAGUCCCAUGGUGCUGGUGCUGGAGGAGUCGGAGGAACCGGGGCCGUCCAUUGUCCCUUCAUCGUGCGCCAAGAGUGCUGACGGAGGCAGUACUGCAAAACCAAGAGGAAACGGCAAAAUCCAUUAAUGACCUGAAGGAGCAAAUGACCAACAUGACCAAUGUAUUAAUUCAAAUCAAUGAAGCCCUCUGCAAAUCAGAUUGCCUCUUGCGCAAAUAAAAUGGCAAA